This 253-nucleotide ribosomal RNA is filed under the name uncultured bacterium. RNAcentral's name for it is "partial 16S ribosomal RNA". It matches the Rfam family "Bacterial small subunit ribosomal RNA", at positions 524 to 776 of the family's 1533-position model. The record is from RNAcentral.
UACGGAGGGUGCAAGCGUUAUCCGGAUUUACUGGGUUUAAAGGGUGUGUAGGCGGGCUUUUAAGUCAGUGGUGAAAUCUCCGGGCUCAACCCGGAAACUGCCAUUGAUACUAUUAGUCUUGAAUUCUGUUGAGGUAGGCGGAAUAAGUCAUGUAGCGGUGAAAUGCAUAGAUAUGACUUAGAACACCAAUUGCGAAGGCAGCUUACUAAACAGAUAUUGACGCUGAGGCACGAAAGCGUGGGGAGCAAACAGG